Molecule: RNA transcript, 3122 nt
Organism: Rhododendron vialii
Lineage: Eukaryota; Viridiplantae; Streptophyta; Magnoliopsida; Ericales; Ericaceae
Gene name: F-box/kelch-repeat protein At3g23880-like
Exons: 3
Source: RefSeq, a predicted model, not a curated record
UCUCUGUCACGCUUCUCUUCAGAUCUCUGGGUUUUGGGUCAGAUUAAUUGACAUAGAACGGGAGACCACAUGAGAAGAUCAAAGAGGAAGAAGGCGAGUCAGAACACAACCACCACCAUCUCCAUUUCAGAACUCCCAGAUCACAUGGUCUGCGACAUUCUAACUCGACUCCCUCUCAAUUCUAUCUUCACCUGCAAGCGAGUUUGCAAGCUCUGGCGCGACCUCACUCUCGGACCCUACUUCGCCAAAUUGCAUCAUUCAAGGUCUCCUCUCAGCCUCAUCUCCUACCACGACGGUAACGAUAACAACAACUCCCCCUCCUCUCACUUCGAAAUUCUCCAGCUCCACGAUCCGCUUGUCUUAAGUCGUCGCAACCGCGCCAUGAAAUUCAGAACAGAUAUCGACUUCCCUCGUAUGCAUACUCAAGUAGUAGCCUCUUGUAAUGGGUCAAUUUUGUUAAGAAAUUCCUCGUUUUGUGAUGAUGAACUUGUUAUUGCGUGUAACCCACUUAGGGCACAACAUUUUAUUCUUCCUGAACCACCAAAAUUGGCACUACGGACCUAUAAAUCAGUCCAAUUCGGGUUUGGGCAUAGUCCGUCCACUGAUCAGUACAAGGUGUUAAGACUUACUCAUACGCAUGGUCCAGAUAGAUUGUACCGUCACGUUUAUACAAUUGGGAUUGAUGAUGAGUGGAGGAGUAUUGGGGACACUGGACAGCCACCAACUAUUAUUAUCUCGCAAAUCAUUUUUCUGAAUGGGGCUCUUCACUGGAUAGGCUUAGAUAAUGCACGGUUCAUUUACUACUUCGAUAUUGAGAAAGAGCAAUUCGGAAGCUUUCCCUUGCCUUCCCGCAUUGGAAAAGAUUGUAACUCUUUUGGGCUUGUAGAUAAUCGGUUGUACCUUCACAACGACCAUUCGUUCUGUGAAUGGAGAAUCUGGGAAAUGAAAGAUUACGGAGACUUUGGGUCCUGGACUUUGGAAUGGGUCAUUGAACAACCAAUCAUUCGUGAGUUUGAAGGAUAUGUCGAGCCACUGAAAAUGUUGAUAGAUGGAAGUCUGUUGAUGAUGUUCAAAAAAACUAGUCAACGAACACCAGUCACCAAGACUACGCUAGCAUCUUACAAUCCACAAACAAGAGUGCUGAAAAAGAUUACGUAUCAUGUUAUUGUAUGCAGGACCUGGAGCACCUGGAGCGCUUCAGUUGCUGACAUACCAUGCUUCUUCUCUCCAAUGGAUGCUUUGAAAUGACUAUGUUAAGAUACUUGAGUUAAGGGUUUCGGUUCAGAUCAGACAGAGAAGACAACAUGAGAAGAUCAAAAGAAAGGCAAUUCAGAACGCCGCCGCCGCCGUCCCCACCGUCACCAUUUCAGACCUUCCAAACCACGUCACGUGCGACAUUCUGUCUCGACUCCCUCUCAACUCCAUCUUCGCCUGCAAGCGAGUUUGCAAGCUCUGGCGCGACCUCACUCUCGAACCCUACUUCGCCAAAUUGCAUCUUUCAAGGUCUCCUCUCAGCCUGAUUUCCUACCACCACGGUAAUGAUAUUGAUAACUCCCCCUCCUACUUCGAAAUUCUCCAACUUUACGAUCCCCUUGUUUUACGUCGUGGCGCCACCACGAAGUUCAGAACUGAUAUCUACUUCCCUCAUAUACAUAUGGUAGCCUCAUGUAAUGGGUCGAUUUUGUUGUCAAAUUCCUUGUCUGAUGAUGACCUUGUUAUUAUUGUGUGUAACCCACUCAGGGCACAUCAAUUUAUUCUUCCAAAACCUCCGAAAUCGGCACUACAGACCCAUAGAGUAGCCCAAUUGGGGUUUGGGCAUAGUCCAUCAACUGACCAGUACAAGGUGCUAAAAGUUACUAGUAGUAAUCGGGAUUGAUGAUGAGUGGAGGAGCAUGGGGGACACUGAACAACUACCUGCUCGUUUUAUCUCAAAAAUUAUUUUUCUGAAUGGGGCUCUUUACUGGAUAGGUGUUGAGAAUUUUCAGUUCAUUUGCUACUUCGAUAUCGAGAGAGAGCACUUCCGAAGCUUUCCCCUGCCUUCCCACAUUAGAAAAGAUCUUGUUUUUCUUGAGGUUGUAGAUAAUGGGUUGUACCUUCACAACUGGCAUUCGAGCCAUGGAUGGAGAUUCUGGGCAAUGAAAGAUUACGGGGACUUUGGGUCCUGGACUUUGGAAUGGGUCAUUGAAGAACCAAUUAUUUACAAGUUCAAAGGACUUGUCAGGCUGUUGAAAAUGUUGAAAGAUGGAAGUCUGUUGAUGAUGUUCUACGAUUUUACGGAUGCCACCAAGACUAUUAUUGCAUCUUACAAUCCACGAACAAGAGUGCUGAAAAAGAAUAAGUAUCAUCUUAGUGGAUGCUGGUGCGUUGCAGUUGAUGACAUACCGUGUUUCUUCUCUCCAAUGGAUGCUUUAAAAUGACUAUGUUAAAAUCUUUGAGUUAAGAUGCGCAGAUCCAGAGAUGUGGGAAAGUUUUUUGACGCAAGGACAAAUAUCAAGAUUUUAUUCAAUGUUGCUUCAGGAAGUGAAAGUCGCCUUUUGGUAUAGCUGUGCAGGACCUCUGGGGAAAUGUUGAAACGAAGCUGGACUCACCUCAUUGGCUAUUUAAAGUUCUUUAUCUUGUUAAUGCUUGUAGCUUGAACUUAAAUAGUUUUGGGGCUGUUCAAUUGCACAUAUGGGUAUUCUGAAUACAUAUGGGGCAGCAUCGGGACAGGAGGUGAACUUUGGUAAAUCAGGAAUCUUUUUCAGCAAGAAUACUCCUCUUGAAGUUGGGAGGGAACUGAGUCGGUUGUUGGGUAUUCGGAGUGACUCAUCUCUGGGGAAGUAUCUUGGACUUCCUACGGAGAUAGGAGAUCGAAGAAGGAGGUGCUUAAAUUGGUGAAGACCAGACUUUUGAGUUUUACUAAGGGAUGGUCGGAACUCGGAACAAAAACUAUCUCAAGCAGGGAAAGAGGUCAUGUUGAAAUCUGUUGCUCUCGGCUCACCGGUUUAUGCAAUGGCUCGCUUUCACUUUCCGGAAUCGUUUUGCAAUGAGCUGAAUGUUGCUAUGGGGCGAUAUUGGUGGGGAGAUACAGAAGGGAAAAGAAAACUCAUUGGAUGGCUUGAGAUAAGAUGGCAGAGAAGAAA